CAUUAAAAAAAAACAACAACGGAGAAAUUCCCAGGAUUUUUUGGGAAUCUCCAAAUCCGGGGAGGUUUUUUUGGGGUUGUUUUUUGAUUUUUUGAUCAUUUUUUUGGGGGAAUUUUGGAUUUUUUUUGUUGGGAUGAGAGGUUUUCCUCAUCAUCCCGAAUUUUUUUUAUUGUAUAUUUUUAUUUUUGUGGGAAAAGGAGGAGCUUGGGAAUUUCCACCCCGGGAAUUUUGCACUUCCAAAGGAGCCGGAUCAGGGAGAGACAGAAGAAGAAAAAAGGGGGAAAAAAAAUAAAAAUAUUCAGGAAAAAAACCUCGGGAUUUAAACAAAAAAACAACAAAAAAUUCCCACUUUUCCCACUUUUUUUUUAUUUUCCUUCUCGUAAAAGCCAUGAGCAAAACUCCAAACUUUUUUCAGGGAAUGGGAACGGGAAUAACACAAAAUUAACCGGAUGCCUUUAAUCCUAACUCAUUAAAAAAACAACAAAAAACCCAUUUUUAUUCCUUAAUUUCCUUUUUUUUGUGUAUCCAGAACGGGAAUUUUUGGGGAUUUUCCCACUCUGGAAUCGGCGUGGAUGGAAAUUUUUAAUUUUAAUUAUUUUUUAUUAUUUUUUGGGGGGUUUAUUUUAAAGGGGAGGGAGGGAAAUCCCAAAUUCCGUAGGCUCCGGAAAAAAAAACCCCUCGGAAUAAAAACAAAACAAAAAAGACGGAGCCGGAAAUUCCCAAGGAUUCGCUGGCGGAGCACAAAUUUUGGGAAUUCCCAAAUUCCCGGAAUGUGGAAUUUGAAAGAAUUUAGGGUGGAAAAAACCCUUGGAUUAUCCCAAAAAAAAAAACCCUGGAAUUGUAAAGGAAAGCCCGGAGAGGGCGCGAGGACGAACUCAGGAAUUACCCUUGGAGGCCUUUCCCGAAAUUCCCGAAAUUCCCGAAAUUCCCGGAGCCCAUCCCAAAAAAUCCAAGUGCCGGAAACGUCGGGAAGAACAAAAAGAGGGAAAAUCCCGGAAUUUUUCCCUCCCAGCACCUCCAAAUCCGUCGGAUUCGAGGCGAAAAAAGGGAAAAAAAAGCGGAAUUUUCGCGGCUUUGGAAUUUUUUUGGGAUUGGGGGAUUUUUGGG
RNAcentral lists this long non-coding RNA (1107 nucleotides) under Parus major (Great Tit). RNAcentral describes it as "lncRNA (ENSPMJG00000003100.1)". Lineage: Eukaryota; Metazoa; Chordata; Aves; Passeriformes; Paridae. The record is from RNAcentral.